This 506-nucleotide ribosomal RNA is filed under the name uncultured Glomeromycotina. Its description in RNAcentral is "partial small subunit ribosomal RNA". It matches the Rfam family "Eukaryotic small subunit ribosomal RNA", at positions 591 to 1092 of the family's 1831-position model. Lineage: Eukaryota; Fungi; Glomeromycota. The record is from RNAcentral.
CCAAUAGCGUAUAUUAGUGUUGUUGCGGUUAAAAAGCUCGUAGUUGAAUUUCGGGAUUGGGAUAUAUCGGUCAUGGCUUUAGGGACAUGAAUCGGUGUGUGGUCAAUCCUCACCUUCUGGUGAAUCGGGAUGCUCUUGGGUGUUUCGACGAACUAGGACUUUUACUUUGAAAAAAUUAGAGUGUUUAAAGCGGGCAUUUUUGCUUGAAUACAUUAGCAUGGAAUAAUAGAAUAGGACGGCAUGGUUCUAUUUUGUUGGUUUCUAGGAUCACCGUAAUGAUUAAUAGGGAUAGUUGGGGGCAUUAGUAUUCAAUUGUCAGAGGUGAAAUUCUUGGAUUUAUUGAAGACUAACUACUGCGAAAGCAUUUGCCAAGGAUGUUUUCAUUAAUCAAGAACGAAAGUUAGGGGAUCGAAGACGAUCAGAUACCGUCGUAGUCUUAACCAUAAACUAUGCCGACUAGGAAUCAGACGAUGUUAAUUUUUUAAUGACUCGUUUGGCACCUUACG